RNAcentral lists this ribosomal RNA (478 nucleotides) under uncultured soil bacterium. Its description in RNAcentral is "bacterial SSU rRNA". It matches the Rfam family "Bacterial small subunit ribosomal RNA", at positions 26 to 506 of the family's 1533-position model. The record is from RNAcentral.
AGAUUGAACGCUGGCGGCGUGCCUUACACAUGCAAGUCGAACGGUAGAGUAGCAAUACUUGAGAGUGGCGAACGGGCGAGUAAUAUAUCGGAACGUGCCCAGUCGUGGGGGAUAACGUAGAGAAAUUUACGCUAAUACCGCAUACGAUCUAAGGAUGAAAGCGGGGGACCGUAAGGCCUCGCGCGAUUGGAGCGGCUGAUAUCAGAUUAGGUUGUUGGUGAGGUAAAAGCUCACCAAGCCGACGAUCUGUAGCUGGUUUGAGAGAACGACCAGCCACACUGGGACUGAGACACGGCCCAGACUCCUACGGGAGGCAGCAGUGGGAAUUUGGACAAUGGGCGAAAGCCUGAUCCAGCAAUGCCGCGUGCAGGAAGAAGGCCUUCGGGUGUAAACUGCUUUUGUACGGAACGAACGGUCUAGCUUUAAUACAGUAGGACUAAUGAACGGUACCGUAAGAAUAAGCACCGGCUAACUACGU